ACCGCUAUGUACGUAUAUCCUGCAAGGGUACUGAGGGCAAGUGACAUGGCAGUUCUAGGUGUGCUCAUCUUCCUGACAGUUUGCUCAGAAGUCAGCUCCCAGAUCCAGCUGACCCAGGCUGGGGCAGAAGUCAAGAAGCCUGGGGAGGCAGUGAGGCUGACAUGUAAAGCCUCUGGCUACACAUUCACCAGCUAUGGCAUCAACUGGGUUCGUCAAGCCCCUGGGAAAGGACUGGAGUACAUAGGACGGCUCAAUGCCAAUAGUGGUGCUACCGCCUAUGCCGAGGCCUUCAAGGGCCGACUAACCAUCACCAUAGACACCUCCAUCAGCACAGCCUAUCUGCAGCUGAGCAGCCUGGGGGCCAGUGACACAGCUAUGUAUUACUGUACUCGCUACACUGUGCUCUCUGCACAAUGA
This is a non-coding RNA of Alligator sinensis (Chinese alligator), 417 nucleotides long. NCBI's taxonomy places the organism in Eukaryota, Metazoa, Chordata, Crocodylia, Alligatoridae. The record is from the annotation of a RefSeq genome assembly.